RNAcentral lists this ribosomal RNA (200 nucleotides) under uncultured organism. Its description in RNAcentral is "partial small subunit ribosomal RNA". It matches the Rfam family "Bacterial small subunit ribosomal RNA", at positions 1184 to 1382 of the family's 1533-position model. The record is from RNAcentral.
GUCAAGUCAUCAUGGCCUUUAUGGCCAGGGCUACACACGUGCUACAAUGGUAGGUACAGAGGGAAGCCAACCGGCGACGGGGAGCCAAUCCCAGAAAACCUAUCGUAGUCCGGAUUGGAGUCUGCAACUCGACUCCGUGAAGUCGGAAUCGCUAGUAAUCGCGUAUCAGCUACGACGCGGUGAAUACGUUCCCGGGCCUU